AUAUGUUUUCCAAUAUGGACAAAUGAAAUAGUGUUAAGAAUAGAAGUAAAUACAUUUUUAGACAUUAGAUGAUAAAGGGAAGAGGGACUCAGCUCACAGUGGUCAUCAGAUCUCAGCACUAUUUUAAUCUUGUCCAAAAUUAUUCAAUAUUCUUGAUUCAAUGCCAAUUAAACUAUAGAAUAAGUGCAAUUUUUAAAGUGUUUCUCUUUAUCCUUUGGGUAAUAUUUGUUCUGGUUGUUUGUAUAGUAAAACCAUUUUCUCUAUAAAGUACUUCACAUUCGUGGAUUUGUUUACAAUGUGCAUGUUUGAAAUUUAAAACUAAGCUUAAUUUCUUUUAAAAAAAUCAGUGUAUGCAUGGCCCCUAUUCCAGGAAAUCUAACUUCCUCUGCAGUUGUGUGCUUCACUCACAUGAUUGGAAUGUUGCAGCUGCUUAGCAUCCUCCAGGCAAUGGUAAAAUCGAGGUUUAAGACAGGAACGUAGGAAAAAUAGUAUGUUUGCUUACAUUUGCAGAGGGGAUUUCUUUUCAGUGCCUAAACUGAGUUUGAACCAAAAUUAUUGAAUCAAUACACUUUUUGAUCUUUAAAAAAUGGAAGCAAAAAGCCUGUAUAUCAUUAAUGGUUAAUGAAUUGUUGAAAGUAGUUAUAUAAACAGGUCAAUCGGGCCAGUUUUCCUCUGCGUUGAUUUCCAAUAACCAUGCAUGAAUGAUACAGGAGAUGAAUUGCUUAUAAAUUUAGUUCAGAAUACCUUUGAAAAGUAGAGUACAGUGACAUUGUGUUUUUGAUUUAAAGUAUUCCCUAUCGAGACUAAUCAUCAUUACAGGGCAUUGUAUUAGAAUUAUACACAGUAAAGCCAACCGUAAUUUCCUACUCUGCUAGAAAUAUAAAAGGUUGUUCACUCCUGUCCUUGACAAACUCUCAUUUAUAGCAAAUAGAUUUUGAAAACUUAAGCCCAUUGAUAUUUCUGAAAAUAUGUAAAUUCAGAAGAAAGCACCCCAACAGAGAAGAUGUGGUCAGUUUUCAUUAUGGAAAAAUGAUCUCAUGUCUCUCCUUCUAUGGAGACACAUUCAAGUAUGGUAUAGUUUUCAAGUAAGUUUCUAAAGAAACAAAGUCACAAUGUAUAAUAGCAUUGCUAAAGUGUCUAGAGUAUAACAGACCCUUUAAAAAGAAUAUUUUCACGUUGACAUAAAUCAAAUGAUGUCUAAAUUAAGUGUUUUCCUUUUUCCAGUUUAUUAUCGCAGUCACUCUAGCCUUCACAAGAUCCUAUUGUUCAGGGACUAUGAUGACCUGAUGCUAGAUUUAGGAGCAGAAAAAUUAUAGGUUAUUUAUUAAAUAACUUUGUUACUCUGCACUAUUUAAAAAUGUAUAAUGGUGGAGCCCUCUAGAAAUAUUCUUUAUCUAAGAAACUAAGAAAUAGGAGCUAUCAAAAUAUAGGAUCAUUAGGCAACAGGUCAGUUAUCAGAGUCAAAGAUCAAUGCCUCCAUGCUUGGAGUAAUUCAAACACAUGGCUAUGAUAUAUUUGAUAUAUAACUUGAGCCAACAUGUUUAAUGUCAUGGAUCUUUCAUAGGAAUAUGAUAUUGAUGACAUUGAGUUUUUAAUGUUUGCUGACAUUUUUUCUUGGCCUCAUGGAUGUAUGAAGACGACACAACUGACCUGGCUCCAUCCCUGAAGGUCAGCGCGCACCAUCGUCUGCUUGGAUUAUUCACUCUUAACACAGCAAUUUUUAUUGAGACAAUAAAACAAACAUCCAAUUUUUGCAAUAUAUACCAAAACUCAUAGAAAAAGUCAUAAUUUUUCAUAUUUCAUAUUCAAAUAUGAUCAUUUAAUAUGUUUCAUGCCAUAAUCAACAUUUUAUAGAAAGGUGGAUUAUACUUCAAAUGUUUUGUGUUCUUCUAUACCAUGCAGAAGAGUUACCUGGAAAGAUAUCAUGACUGCUAUAAGUAUAAAAAAUUAUAAUUUUUUAAUUCCCACAGAUUUUAUUUUGAAAUGUAUUUAUUGUUGCUGCUAAACCCUCUCCCACAAUCUCAAUUAUUCUUUUUUUUUUUACAACAAACUUAAGGCUCACUAAAAUCCUGCAGAAGAUAAGUUGUAUUAUAUGCAUUGUUCACACAGAGUAAUGUAUAGAACAUUUGGUUCCCUGUUGAUUGAGAGAACAUAUGCCUGGACAAUUUAUGAAGCCAGAAAUAUAUCUACAAUAUCUUAUAAAACUAUGAAAACAGUAAAGUAUUUUAAUGACAUAGUAAGUAAAGAAUGCAGUUCAAAAAAUAGAGAGCUUAAGAGAAUAAGUUAGAGACUGAAUUUUGAAUGUAACACAGAAAUUUUGAAAGAUGUUCAAUUGUAUUCUUAAAACCUAAAAAUUCAACUAUUUUUAUAAUAUAACAUUCUAGACAGAAAAAUGAAAUGUCUUGUUUCAAGUGAAACAAAAUCUUAAGAGCCUAGAUUGGCGUCUUGUGUUUAGCUUUUUGUGAUUGUGUAUACUAGAUCUCUUUCACUGGAAACAAAAAUUGCAUAAAUAAGAGCUCUGCUUCUUUCCAAAGAUUCUGAUUUAUUCUUUUUCCAGAAAAAGUUUGAUUUAUUCUAAUAUGUGUAUGCUUUUCAAUUUUCAAAGAUCAAUUCAUGUUGUUAAAAUUACUUUGAAUUGUAGUUAACAUAUCUGUCCUUUCCCAGUCAAGGGAGGAGUCAACUGUUACACAGUCUUGGAUCAAGGGCAGGACACUUAUUUUUGUUUUGUUUUGUUUCAUUUUCAUUUUUAUUGGUUAUUUUAUUUAUUGACAUUUAAAAUGUUACCCCCUUCCCAGUUUCCCCU
Molecule: long non-coding RNA, 2803 nt
Filed under: Mus musculus (house mouse)
Lineage: Eukaryota; Metazoa; Chordata; Mammalia; Rodentia; Muridae
Description: long non-coding RNA chr1:137957824-137960627
Source: RNAcentral